Molecule: transfer RNA, 86 nt
Filed under: Candidatus Nanoarchaeia archaeon
Lineage: Archaea; Nanobdellati; Nanobdellota; Candidatus Nanoarchaeia
Description: tRNA-Leu
Rfam family: tRNA
About the family: Transfer RNA (tRNA) molecules are approximately 80 nucleotides in length. Their secondary structure includes four short double-helical elements and three loops (D, anti-codon, and T loops).
Source: RNAcentral
GCGGGGGUAGCAAAGCCUGGUCAAAUGCGCAGGACUUAAGAUCCUGUCUCUUAGUGAGUUCGAGGGUUCAAAUCCCUUCCCCCGCA